AAUGGGUGGGACAAAGGGUCGCGAUCUCACAAGGGUGAGCUAACUUCGAAAACCCGUCCUCAGUUCGGAUUGCAGGUUGUAACUCGCCUGCAUGAAG
Non-coding RNA from Triticum aestivum (bread wheat), 97 nucleotides. Lineage: Eukaryota; Viridiplantae; Streptophyta; Magnoliopsida; Poales; Poaceae. The record is from Rfam.